GUUCUGUGAUAGGAAGAUGACAUGGCAGAUUCAGUGGUCAAGGAGCUUGGAUGGUCUUGGACUCAGGCGCCCUGACAAUGGUCUGUAGAACAAGAUGAGGUGGAUGUCUUUCUGGGAAGACUGAGAAGGCAAGUUCAUUUACUUGGAAGACAGGAGACGUUCGGCCUCAAGGCAAGAGAGAAGCAAAAGCUGACAAAGCAAACCCUGCAGGACACUCGGGUCUAAAUCACUUUCACUGAGAAACCCGCAUCCUGGCAGCUUGCAGCAGAUGGAGAAAUGUCCCCAAGAUUUCAGAGCCCAAUGUGAUACAGACGGCGGAAGAGUCAGGACCUCCUAGCUGAGCACUGCUGCUCCUCGGGAGACACCUUACAGAACCUUUAGAAAUGCGAUCCAGACUAGAUAGCCAUCCCCGCGGAGGAUGCUAAGCAAAUAUACAACACACAGGCUAAGCCCACAACCAACCAGCAAUAUACCGCCAUCAACAUGGCCUCAGAAUCCUACUUAACACAAUGUUCCCGGCAGCAACACCUGGGCUCUCAAAAUAAAACCCAUUUGGAGAGGCAGAACUAGGUUAGGGGGUUGCAAAUAUGGGUUCCCUCAAGCAGCGGAAGCUCGUUUCUCUGCAGAACUCAUUCGAGGAUUCAACAAAUAGUAACGUGGCUACCACGAGCUGACCCCAUGCAUCACACCUCACAGUGGUCAGCAAGCCGGACGGGCCUGAGUGGGCUCAGGAGGCUUACGCUUGAGGAGAGAAGGCAGCAGCUUAGCAAGGACUGAAAUCUGAUACUACCACGAGAGAGUAAUAAAGAGAACCCUGUUAGGCAGCACGGUCAGGGCCGAUCACACAGUGCAGAUCCCCGGGAAGGACAGGGUACCUGCACGAGCGGUGAACCUGCUGGAGGCCAGUGACUGGAGAUGGUGAGGAAGCGACCAACGAGAAGGCGAGAGGGGGAGGAGCGGGCGGCUCUCCCUUCCCUGCAGGCCCAGAGGCGCAAAUGCUGCCAGAGAUGAGGGACGGGUGAUUCACUGCUCACGUCACCCUUGUUCCGCACCGACGUUUUGCUCAGCUUAGAACAGUAGCUGGGUGAAGAGGCAGUAAGCCCAGACUUGGCACGGAGAAGAGCAGCUGGGCCCAGCUUUGCCUCUGAGCCUGGGCAGCGCUGCCGUCUGGCCUGAGGUUUGCUUACCGAGUCCCUCCCUCACCUUAACAUCAGGCCCCGCUGAAGGGAAACUUUCCACAGCAAAGCAGGGGAGGCUCAAGCUAUUUGCACAGGUGGCGAGCACCCCGGAGCAGCAAGGACCCGGGCUGACCUCACCAACUUCUCUCCGAAUGUCCACCAUAUGGUUGGCAGGGCUAAAGGAGCGCCCCUGGCGCCAGCCAGCCAGCCAGCCAGGGGCCUGGCACCGGGACCCACGUAUUGGCAGAUGAGAAAUGACCAACAGAAAAACCUAUAUUCCAAGGCUACGUGAUCACCACCCUGCUGGAUUGGUCCUGCUUCCUUCUUUCCACGAGGCACUCGUUCUGCCUCUGGUUACAAAACCGCACCUUCUGAAGGGGCAGCGCACCCCCUGGCAGUAACCUCCCCUCUGUCACUUACAAAUCCAUUCAUUUCCGAUGGAGCUGUUCCAGGGCCCUUCAAAGAACCUGGCCCGUGUGAGCUGCACAAACAAAUUAGGAGCCAGCCUUUCCCAAAUGCCUCUAUUUCAUUUAAAAACCUUCUUUAAUGAAGAUAUAAGGCCUUGGAUGAGGCUGAAACACCAGCUUACCAUGCAUGAUAGCGGAUCUUUCUCACAGACGAUUUCCAAUGCCUGUAAAACUUUUUAAAUACCCGAUGGCUUAAAAGGAAAGAAACAGAGAUUACCUUGUUAUGGGCUCAAUUGUCCUUUUUAUAUGCCCUGUAAGUGACCAUAAUCCAAAAAUCAGCACAGACGAUAGAGAUGUAAGGCGACUUCAGACACGCACAUACCCUGCUUUGUCAGUGAAAAAUUAAAAUGCAACGCCAGGCACAUGACUAUUUCGAAGCAUCAGGCUAGAAAAGAGAUACCCUCACCUUUUUCAGCUUCCUACUGUGCACCUCCCAAUUAUUUAUUACUGAGAUGCUCCCGAGGCACCAUAAACACACACACACAUGCAAAAACCCCAGGCCUGGCUCACGUAUAUACGGCUUGAUUUUAAAAUAUUAGUAUCUUUGCUCUUCCCAUUAAAGCUGAAAAUAUUGUUGGGAGUUAUAACUUCAUGAAUGAAAAACCCAUAAAAAUCUUUUAAGAGACCUAAUCUUUUAAUUAAUCUCACCUCAAUGCUGCUCAAGGGUUUAAACGAAUUUGGUUGGUUUUAAAAGAUAAAAGAUCAGAAUGCUUUAAAAUAGCUUCUUAUAAUUUCAGUACCUACUUAAAGGUCCAAAAAGGAAUACUUGAAAAAUGCCUCGUCCUAGAAUCAGGGUUCAAGACAGCUCUUUAAAAAUCUCCGGUCCAAACCGCAAGGUGACAUCUAUAUCCCUUCUGCCAUAGAGCUUCCAAGGGGCGCUCAUGCCCUGGCUGCAGGGCUCCAGGGUGAACGUGUUACUGCUCCGCCAGACAGCCUGACCCUCGCAGCUGUGCUAGGAGACUGUUCUGCCAUCUCCCUUCCCCCAACUUCUACCCUCGAGUCCUAGCUUCAGCUCUUAAGAGUCACAGAGCACAAGGUCAAGUUCAUGUAAAAAAAAUACUACUUUUGAGUAUUAGUGAAUUUGAGCUACAUUUAAAUCUGGCAAACCCGUGGGCUAGAGAGGAUAUAAACCCUCAGGGGUGCUCUGGCACUGCUGGCGAGAGAGUAUAUUGAAGCAACCUCUUAGGAAAACAGUUUGGCAUUACCUCCUGAAGUUGACAUUGACAGCACCCUCCAACCCAGCAAUCCCACACCCAGGAGUGCACCUGAGAGGCACUCUUGCUCACAUACGUGAGAAUUUUCAAAGAAGCUCUGAUUAAAAUAGCAAAACCCAGGACAUGACCACUGGUCUUCAGAAAGCAGAUGACUACAAUGGGAUACAUUCACAUCAUAGAAUAUUGCACGGUGACCAUAAUACUUAUCUGAUAGACAAUUAGGCCAUAUGGACUAAUCUUAAUAACACACUAUUAAGGAAAAAAUUAUUCCCAAAAGAUAAUAUGCAGCAUGAUCUUUUGCUUUUUUACAAAGUUGAAAGUAAAUGUUUUUGAGUUGUUUUUUAGGAACACAUAGAGAUGCCUAAAACGCUGUAAAAAGAAGUGAAGCAGUAGGGACCAAGGGACUCAGGGUGAUGGAGAGCUCGGUGAGGGGAAGGCAGGGGAGAGGAUGGAGUGUGGGCCUAUGACAUGGUUAGAUGUAGGACAUCAAAAUCGUGGCCUUUGUUCUGCGUGAUGGGGUGUGAAGAUACUCAUUAGCCAUUAACUGUAACUGCUUACAUAACUGUCUAAAAGCAGGCCCUGAAUGAAAGCAAACAGAAAUGACCGUCCGUGGGCAGCAGGCGGGAUUACAACACAGGAUGGCUGCCACUCCCCUCACUCCGGAAAGCCUGCUUCCAUCCCGGGAGCCUCUGUAAGAAUUACAACAUAGCGUUUGCUGUGUAGAAGCACUGAAGUCAUUAAUUGGAUUCCAGAUGUCUGGAAUUGAUUUAUCCCUUCACUGCAUCCCCCAGCCCGGGAUCUAUUUUGGGUCUAACACUUCACACAGGGCGCUGUUCUUAAUUAAACCUGCUCUGCCUUCAGAGCUUUACGUCUGUGAGACAGUCCUCCAAACAUUCUCCUCUCCGUAAAUUUGCUCUUAUGUCCUGUUUCCAAAGCAAAAGUAAUACUUGCUGGGAUUUUAAUAAACAUGUCUGUGGUAGAAAUAUAAAUUUCACACGCUUCCUACAUUUCAUAGUCCUCUUCUUUAUGCCGAUUCCCACGCCAAGCCUGCACUUUAGGGGCUUUGCGGUUCAAGCUCCAUUUCUGCUGCCCACCAGUGGGGGCAACGAAACGGAUGCUGAUCGCUCUUUAGGUUGGAAACACAGACACGAUGUUGAAAAAAGUCAUUAAUUUCCAAGCGACACUGUGCCUCUCCCACUGUAACGGUUGCUUUUGGUGACAUCUGACUCCCGCUCACUGACAUUAGACUGAAGCACAGUAGCCACGUUACCCGUCCAACAUCUGCGACUGGUUCCUAACUUGUUACUCAGCCUGUGUCUACUGGAAGCCAAAAUGGAAAAUGUUUAAAAAUCAAGCAAACUAAUUUUUUGCCAUCCAAGAGGCAAAACAACCUGCUGACUGUCCUUCUACUUUGCAAAUGGUUAUUUGAGCCUCAGGUGGAGGGGCGACUCAUCUACUUAUAAAGCAAGUCAGAUUCGAGACUUAAUUUUUUUCAGCCAAAAGGCAGCUGAAUCUCGAGAAGCAAACACUGCUUUAAGGAAAAUGAACCCCUGGCCGAGGUGGGAUGCUCUUGGUCCAAUACUAGGGGCCCUUCUGCUCUAGGGAAGUGGAGACAUAGAAGGGUGGGGGCCCAGGAUUACAGACAGCAUCAUUCUGUUGUUCUGCGACUUUUGUUAUUAUUGGCAGAGCUCUGAUGAGCGCCUGCUGAGUACCAGGUACGGAGGUGAUCUCAUUCCAUCCUCCUCAGAGUACCUGCCUCAUGGUGCCGGCUUCUCCACUUGCAGGUGAGGAAAUUAAGGCUCAGAGAUGCGAUCUUACAGCUCGUGGGUGGUGGGACCUGCAUCCCCUCUCUCAGAAAACAGUACUAAGCAUCUGCUACGCACUGGGGACUAGUCUGAGGAAUCAAAACCAAAGCCCUGUUGCCUACAGAAUCUCCUUGGAUCAACGGUGGGGUGGGCAAGAGGCAUAACAUUGUUGUCCCCGUUUUACAGAGAAGGAAACAAAGGUUCAGAGAAAUUAAGUGAAUUGCUUAAGUCUCCUGCAGUCUUGGGCUGAAAGACUCAACAUGUUUCUCUACAAAAAAGGACCCUCUAUUAAAAACAACACGGGUGGCCUGCAUGUGGUUCCUGCAACGGGACAUCGCAACUGAGGACGCGCGUGCUGGAGGAUCCCUUAUUCAAAAGCAGAAAUUAAAUUCUGGGUAACGGGCCAGCGCGGUUUCAGCUCAGACUUUUCACCCUUGCUGUCUAUGCUCUGGUCCAGAAUCACUGAUCCCUGACACGGCUUUCUUGGUGUGACAGGCCCUCAUUUACUACUUUACCCUCAUCUCUCAGCUCCUUGCACUAUUUCCAUCCUAUUUAAGUAGAAGUGGUUCUUUAAACAACCUGCUUCAUCUGUCACCACCAGCCUCGCACAUGGAACACACCGCUUCCCCCGUUCCCCCGCGGCUCUACUCGGGGGCCCUUUUAUGAGGUUCCAUUUCAGGACGUUUAUUUUGUUGUGAGCGCUUUCCCAUGUGUCUGUCUUCCCCACUAACCUAUAGGUUCUGUGAGCCGAAAGCCACUGCUCAUUAACAAUAUUCAGUCUUUCCUUAACUUUCAAAACAUCAAUGCCACAUGGUUCAAUCUAAUACCUUAGCAGCGACCUUACAAAACUGGAGCCAGGAACAUAACAGGUGUCCACGGAACACUUCUUGUCGCAAGAAACCAACCAUAACAGAUACUCAGACAGUUACCACCGCCGUCACUCCUCAAGGAAGGCUGUGAUUACGUUCUCUAGGCCAAAUGCUGUAACGCUAAUGCAGAAACGGAGACAAGACGCUGUGGAGGACGACACAGGACAAACCAAGAUUUCUUUGCAGCCCGCAUCAACCCGAAACUUUACUAGUUUUACCUAAUUGUAUUUCAAGAGGACAAUAAACUUAUGAAGGCUCUGAGUAGAGAGCCGAGCUGUGGGCAUCCCUGGUCUGUGACAAUGACUUCCCAGUGGCAUCUCCCCUCCUUCAGGGACAACUGGGGAGAAAAACACACAGUGAGCAGGAGGCAAAUGAAAGAUACGCUUGUGCCCACUUGGAGGUCAGCAUCCCACCCUUCCUUGUGAUCCGUCAUUAAUGACAAUUUCAUUUCUUCAGAGGCUGGAAAAUCACCACGGAGGCUGGCCUCAGUGGUCCCACAGCUGAUCCUCCUUUGAAGGAAAAGCUUGAGAGAAAAUGUAGACAACAGAGUGGCGGCCAGGCCACUGUUUUGUCUGUGCUCCACCGGGGAGUGCCCACGGCCACGUCCCUUUCCUGCGCCAGCCCCGUCCUGACGCCCUCGCGUCUUACACUGGCGGGGGGGGGGGGGCGGUCACCUCACCCUGCAGACCUCACCCUGCAGGAUGCCUGCCAGUUUCUACAAAGUUCCUUCUCAUCGUGGACACUCUUUUCCAUGGAUUCUUCAUUGUAUAUGUGCACAGGCUGUGUGUCAAAUGGAGCUUCCUGUGCCUCUGCUCACAGUGCAUUACAUCUUUAAUCAGUAUAUAUAAUUACUUACAGCAAGCUGCCAGGCCAGAUUUUCUGAGCAUUAGUCUAAUUAACUUAAGCUUGAUAAUUAUGUUCCAGAUACCAGAGCAGUACACACAGAAUUUGCAGAUUAAUGCCACCAGCUUAUUUGAUUCCUAUAUUAUGUCUUCUCAGACAGUGGGUUCGUUUUUUGGGGUUUUUGUUUUAAUAGCCAUCUGAUAAUUACUUAGGUUUCAAAGUUUUCCCUCAAAU
Long non-coding RNA from Vicugna pacos (alpaca), 6610 nucleotides. RefSeq lists it as uncharacterized. The record is from RefSeq and is a predicted model, not a curated record. NCBI's taxonomy places the organism in Eukaryota, Metazoa, Chordata, Mammalia, Artiodactyla, Camelidae.